GAAAACUGAGACCCAGUGAUGUGCUGCUGAAGUCUCUAAUAACACAUCAUGCCCACAGUACCUGCUGAAAACCCACUGAAAGGCCAGCAGGAAGAGUCAGAGGGAAUUCAGCCUCACCCCAGUCCUAGCUGUGAAACAAGCAGGGUAAGCAAACAGCCUUGCUAACUCAAGCAGAGGCAAAGCAGGAUGUUUGCUGGCAUUGCCCCCCAUGCAGCCUGUUUCUGACAGCUCGCAGCUUUGCCAUUUUGUGCCUUGCUGUUUGCUGGGGUGGGGUUUUUACUCCCAAAGAUAAUUCUGUAACUGCAAACCUGUUUUUUCCCUGAACGUUAGGUGCUCACACGUGUGCUUUGCUCCUGUCUGCAGUGAGAAGACAACCCUGCCUGUCCUAGCAGAUGGCUCCACACAUGUAUGGAGAGAACAUUAAGCAAAGCCAUGAACAAGGUUUCCCUGAGCAGUACUGGUGGCUCUGGCUGUGGGGCUGGAAGUUUGAUGACAGUUGUGAGUGACCGUCGUGCCUGAGUGGGCCAGCUGAAGGUGCAGGGAGGAGACUCUGAGGGCAUUGGCAAGGCAGCACAGAAGUGAAUCUGACCUGACUGUCCAUAUGGAGUCUGGCACCUGCACCGGCUUUCAGCCUCCCCCAGCCUCUGUCUCAGAGAAAUAAAAGAGGCAUCUUGGCUUCUUCCUUCCCCAGCACGUACCCUGGCAAUGGAGAAAGCUGAAGCACUAACUCGUGCCAUGGGGAAUGAGCAGUGGUAGAAGACCUCGGGGACCUGGAGCCAUGCAGACACUGAUGGAUUGUGCAAGUCAGGAGAGUAAAGGAGCAGCGCUCUCCAUAUUUAAAGGUGAUAGAGGCCACCAGGAAGAAACAAGUAAGAGAGCUGACCAAAUAUUCUUGAAUGCCACUGUCCAGUCAGUUUCAAAAGUGAAGUGUUCUCUUUGGCGUAACACGUUGGUAAGUUCCUUGUCUUCUUUUGGAUGCCUGUAA
RNAcentral lists this long non-coding RNA (985 nucleotides) under Numida meleagris (helmeted guineafowl). RNAcentral's name for it is "lncRNA (ENSNMEG00000018271.1)". Lineage: Eukaryota; Metazoa; Chordata; Aves; Galliformes; Numididae. The record is from RNAcentral.